GGUGAAUUCAUGUGCACAUCUGUGAGAGGAUGGGGGAGGACACAGAAUCAGAGGAAAAAGGGUGACAAAGUGCAGCAGUGGAGUGCACCAGCUGCACUGGAGUUUGAUGAAAACUCAAAGAUGCUGAAGUGGUUGUGGACUGAAAUUCCGCAUCCAAGGCCUGUGACUUAGUGUAUGUGGCAUCAUAUUGUCUCCUUUUCUUUUGACUCUUCCACAGUGAAGCAGGAACCUGGAUCUGAUGACACCUUGUGCCACAUUCACAAAGCUGCCACGUGAACCCUCUGUAGCUACUUUAACAGAAUGUGAAGCCACAGACAGGGUUGUACCAUCACUAAGGUGUGACUAUCUCUUCCUGUUGCUGUGGGAGGACAGCCAGUGGACCUUCUUUACCAGUUCUGUGGUAGCUCAGUUUCUUUCUCAAGUUUCCUCUAUUGCAGUUGUCCCAGGGUCUAGAUGUCUGGCUCCUGUACAUUCUCUGAUGACUGAGUGGAAAGUUGUCUCAACUGGAUCAACUCAUCCAGUAGCAAUCCAUUUCUGCAGCUCCAUGAUGCUGCAGAGCCCUCCCUGCCUAUUGAUAGAACAGGUAAGGUAGCUAGUUCCCAAGAGCUAGGGAAAUCCUCUCCUUCCAAACUUUGCCAGCUUUGGUGCUUUGGUUAGUUCAUCUUGGGCAGUAUGUUUCAAAUCUCCCAUGUCUUGUUUGAUGUGAGCACAGGUACAGCACAGCCACAUGGAUAGAGUAGGGACUGGUUUGUUAAUUUUUUUCCCUACAUUUCCAUUUUCUGUGCCAUUUAGUUCUAGGAUUUGAACUCAGGACCUGGAUGCUGUCCCUGAUCUUAUUGCGCUCAAGGCUAAAGUUCUACCACUUG
This is a long non-coding RNA of Perognathus longimembris pacificus (Pacific pocket mouse), 866 nucleotides long. RefSeq lists it as uncharacterized. The record is from RefSeq and is a predicted model, not a curated record. Lineage: Eukaryota; Metazoa; Chordata; Mammalia; Rodentia; Heteromyidae. The transcript is spliced from 3 exons.